AGUUACUGCCACCCUCUCCCAGGGAGCCCUACGUUGUGGAAGGAAGACAACAGUAUAGGACCAUCAGCAGGACCGGACAGAGAGGGGCACCCCUGGCUGUCCUGGAACUUGUAGACCAGGCUGGCCUUGAACUCAGAAAUCCGCCUGCCUCUGACUCCCGAGUGCUGAGAUUAAAGGUGUGCACCACCACACCCGACAAGGAAGCCUGUUUUAAGAAGUGAUUCCAUGGAGGAGUUCUGCGGCGGCUCAGGGCUUGACUAAACAGUGGACCUCAGACAAGAGAGGCUAAACCAGGCUGCAGGUGACAGGAAGAAUUGAAUAAACUGAAAGCAAAGGGCAGCCUUCUAAUUACGCUUCGUGGCUAUGUGGACAACCUGGAGAAGUCUGGAAACAAAGAAGCCAGAAGCCCGAAGCCAGCAGUAGAGCUCUGACUGGCUUGUAUGCCUAGAAAGGAAGGGCUCUUCUUUCGCCUCACGGGCACAAAUGGGACCCACGAGCGCCGAUUUCAGACUAUUCUGAUCCCUUCAAAAAGAAAGUUAGGAGUCCAGGCUACUGUGAGUGAAUUUGAUUCUAAUUGUUUCAGAGAAUAUGGAAUAAAAUAUCUCAUUUGCA
This 612-nucleotide long non-coding RNA is filed under the name Mus musculus (house mouse). RNAcentral's name for it is "predicted gene 20544". Lineage: Eukaryota; Metazoa; Chordata; Mammalia; Rodentia; Muridae. The record is from RNAcentral.